RNAcentral lists this ribosomal RNA (425 nucleotides) under uncultured bacterium. Its description in RNAcentral is "bacterial SSU rRNA". It matches the Rfam family "Bacterial small subunit ribosomal RNA", at positions 355 to 794 of the family's 1533-position model. The record is from RNAcentral.
UGGGGAAUAUUGGGCAAUGGGGCGAAAGCCUGACCCAGCAACGCCGCGUGGAGGAAGAAGGUUUUCGGAUCGUAGACUCCUGUCCUCAGGGAAGAGAAGAAGACGGUACCUGAGGAGGAAGCCCCGGCUAACUACGUGCCAGCAGCCGCGGUAAUACGUAGGGGGCAAGCGUUGUCCGGAAUGAUUGGGCGUAAAGGGCGCGUAGGCGGCCCGGUAAGUCUGGAGUGAAAGUCCUGCCUUCAAGGUGGGAAUUGCUUUGGAUACUGUCGGGCUUGAGUGCAGGAGAGGUAAGUGGAAUUCCCAGUGUAGAGGUGAAAUUCGUAGAUAUCGGGAGGAACACUCGUGGCGAAGGCGACGGUCUGGACCGAUAUUGACGCUGAGACGCGAAAGCGUGGGUAGCAAACAGGAUUAGAUACCCUGGUAGU